Molecule: non-coding RNA, 23 nt
Filed under: Arabidopsis thaliana (thale cress)
Lineage: Eukaryota; Viridiplantae; Streptophyta; Magnoliopsida; Brassicales; Brassicaceae
Source: RNAcentral
UCGGAGUAAUGAUUAACAGGGAC